CAGUGUGCCGGUUCACGGUGCACGAGCGCUGCGCCCGCCGCGCCCCCCACAACUGCAUCAGCACCUACGCCAAGAACCGCAGGGAGGCCGAGGUCCAGGCCCACGUGUGGGUGAGGGGCGGCUGUGAUGGUGCCAAGUGCAGGGAGUGCCAGAAGAAGAUCCGGAGCUUCCAGAGCCUGACGGGGCUGCACUGCGUGUGGUGCCACCGCAAGGUCCAUGAGGAGUGCCAGCCCCU
Molecule: long non-coding RNA, 235 nt
Organism: Neopelma chrysocephalum (saffron-crested tyrant-manakin)
Lineage: Eukaryota; Metazoa; Chordata; Aves; Passeriformes; Pipridae
Exons: 3
Source: RefSeq, a predicted model, not a curated record